Molecule: long non-coding RNA, 487 nt
Organism: Salarias fasciatus (jewelled blenny)
Lineage: Eukaryota; Metazoa; Chordata; Actinopteri; Blenniiformes; Blenniidae
Exons: 3
Source: RefSeq, a predicted model, not a curated record
AAUGCCUCAACACACAGCUGUAUGGGCUGAUGUGUGGUCGGGAUCCAGACCUGGCAUCAGUUCAUACAACUGUGUUCUGUGAUGAAGACAUCACCUGGCAAAGGUUGGUAUGUGCAGCAGCGAGGAGGAGCUCUCCAACCUCAAGACCCAGCUCGGGGACCGGAUCGCUGGCUGUGGAGUUCCUGACAUAUACAGCGCCACAGCGGACAGCCUUCCACAGAUCCAGCAGCAAAUUGUGGCCCAUUUCCUCCACCAUCGAACUGCAAGUAUGAGCCAGCACUUUGUCGCUGGUAUGGAAGCCUGUGGGAACUUCUGGUCAUUGUGAAGGCAUCCUGGAGACAGCUCCUGCCUGUCUUCACUAACGUCGGAGUCAACUCACAAGGAGCUGCAUGCAGCAACUCUUCAAGGUCUCCUGGAGCCCAGAAGGGACAAACAAAAGGGAGCAGGAGAAAGCCACAAUCUACCAGUGGGCAUGGUGGCUCAUGGC